This 289-nucleotide ribosomal RNA is filed under the name uncultured bacterium. Its description in RNAcentral is "partial 16S ribosomal RNA". It matches the Rfam family "Bacterial small subunit ribosomal RNA", at positions 773 to 1060 of the family's 1533-position model. The record is from RNAcentral.
GUGGAUUAGAUACCCUGGUAGUCCACGCCCUAAACGAUGUCAACUAGUUGUCGGGUCUUAAUUGACUUGGUAACGCAGCUAACGCGUGAAGUUGACCGCCUGGGGAGUACGGUCGCAAGAUUAAAACUCAAAGGAAUUGACGGGGACCCGCACAAGCGGUGGAUGAUGUGGAUUAAUUCGAUGCAACGCGAAAAACCUUACCUACCCUUGACAUGUCUGGAAUCCCUGAGAGAUUAGGGAGUGCUCGAAAGAGAGCCAGAACACAGGUGCUGCACGGCCGUCGACAGCU